AUUUUUGUUAAGAUGGUUACGAGGGGAUUUGGGAUAGUGGUGAUUCUGGAAAUCAUUUGGAGCAGAUAUGGUAUUAAUGGGUUUGAUUGGGAGAAUAAUUUUGACUGGAGUAGUUUUGGCUAUAAAAGCAGAUGGACGUUGUUCUGUUGUUUUAUAGUUUCAACUUGUCUUACAUAUAACUACAUUUUUUUCACUUCGUGGCUUUUGGUUCUUUUUUCAAUGACUCAGGGCCAGCUAGUAGGUACGGGGGGAGAUAUGAAGAAUGGUGAGAUGGCUCGGAAGCGGUUGAAGAUAUCCGUUCCUCACUUUGAUAACUCGGACCUGAUCAAGAG
RNAcentral lists this long non-coding RNA (332 nucleotides) under Brassica rapa (field mustard). Its description in RNAcentral is "long non-coding RNA (BRAP_LNC001332)". Lineage: Eukaryota; Viridiplantae; Streptophyta; Magnoliopsida; Brassicales; Brassicaceae. The record is from RNAcentral.